GAUGAACGCUGGCGGCGUGCCUAAUACAUUCAAGUCGAGCGAACGGACGAGAAGCUUGCUUCUCUGAUGUUAGCGGCGGACGGGUGAGUAACACGUGGAUAACCUACCUAUAAGACUGGGAUAACUUCGGGAAACCGGAGCUAAUACCGGAUAAUAUUUUGAACCGCAUGGUUCAAAAGUGAAAGACGGUCUUGCUGUCACUUAUAGAUGGAUCCGCGCUGCAUUAGCUAGUUGGUAAGGUAACGGCUUACCAAGGCAACGAUGCAUAGCCGACCUGAGAGGGUGAUCGGCCACACUGGAACUGAGACACGGUCCAGACUCCUACGGGAGGCAGCAGUAGGGAAUCUUCCGCAAUGGGCGAAAGCCUGACGGAGCAACGCCGCGUGAGUGAUGAAGGUCUUCGGAUCGUAAAACUCUGUUAUUAGGGAAGAACAUAUGUGUAAGUAACUGUGCACAUCUUGACGGUACCUAAUCAGAAAGCCACGGCUAACUACGUG
RNAcentral lists this ribosomal RNA (497 nucleotides) under uncultured bacterium. Its description in RNAcentral is "partial 16S ribosomal RNA". It matches the Rfam family "Bacterial small subunit ribosomal RNA", at positions 28 to 507 of the family's 1533-position model. The record is from RNAcentral.